AGCCCAGAGGGAGAAAGAACUAGAGAAAGAGUGCCAGGUAGGAAACAGAGUCAGAAGGAAAGCUCUCCAGGCAGGGAGACCUGGGAGAGACGCUGACUAACCAGAGAAGAGAUUGAGAGACCCACAGGGAAAGCAAGAAGCUUCAAGGUAGGAAGUUACCCAGGAUAACUGCAGCACAGGUAAAGGAGCAGACCAAGCUAUUCAGUACAGGGGUUUGGGCUGAAACCCCGAGUAGAGCGGAGGACUGGAUUUCCUUUUUGGGCCCUAAGAAAGGGGCAUACAAACCCACCCUAAGGCUUAUUGACUCCAGCAAAGGGGCAGUAGGCUGAGCUGAAGCUAGACUGAGGAAGAGCCCCAGAGAGAGGAAAGGAUUUUUGUUUGUUAGAUUUUUAGGAUAUUCACAAUUUCCAAAUUGAGUCCCUGCAAGGGGCCCGGAGGACCAAGUCACGGAAGAUGAACCACCUGAGUGACUGUUAGCACAGGGCCCUCAUGCAGCUAUACCAUGCCUGACCGUGAUGGAGCACCUAGUGAAGGGAGAAGCUGCAAGAAAAAGAAUCUAUGGAAAAUAGAAACCUUUUGUCCACUAGGAUUUAAGCACUCAGAACUGAAUCUUUAUAUAAUGUUUUCCGUGAGUCACCAGGAGCUCUCUGAGGAUCUUUAGCAGCUGACAAGGACACAUUUUAUGAAGGAAACAACAUGGGACAGAGAGCAAAAGACAGACUAGUAACAAUGUAAAGGCCUGCUGGAGAUGAAUUACCUAUAAAAGUCAAGGAACUGAGAGAGACCGAGCCAAAUGAGCAAGAAAGUCCUGGAACCAGGAGAAAAGAAAAGUCUAUUACUCAGCCUGCACUAUUAUCUGGUAGUUUGUUUAUGUGUUUAUUUUAUAACCACCAUCUCAAUUGGAACAAGUUGAUCCUUUCAUUUACAGUCUCAGGAAAGUGGCCAAAGUCUAAAUGAUCUUGGAGACUGAACUUCUCUUGCCUCCAGAGGCAGUCCCUAAAGAAUAGACUUAAGGCACAGUACCAAGGGGGGCUGCACUCCUGUUAUUUUGCCCAGAUGUGUUCUGUGGCUAGAGGACAUCCGUAUCCAAAGCUAUCAGCCUAGCACCUUCCACAAGUAUUACAUUUACUUACAGUUAAAAUAUUUUUUUUAAAAUAGACUUUCUGAUGUUCCAUAAAAUAUGCCUCAUCUGCUGUAUGGUUUAGUCUUGUCAGAACUGAAAUUAGGAUAACUAAGAAAUGCUCUUUCUACAGCAUCUGGCAGCAAUCAAAGGCUUAUAAUAUUUAGACUGAAGAGAAAUACAGUAGAAUGUUCCCAUUUGAGAAUGAAAAUGUAGAUUAUUACCACAACAUGCUGCCAUAAUUAUUACCACUGGCUGCAAAAACAUGGUUUGUAGUUUUACA
Mauremys reevesii (Reeves's turtle) is the source of this 1403-nucleotide long non-coding RNA. RefSeq lists it as uncharacterized. The transcript is spliced from 5 exons. The record is from RefSeq and is a predicted model, not a curated record. Lineage: Eukaryota; Metazoa; Chordata; Testudines; Geoemydidae.